This 152-nucleotide non-coding RNA is filed under the name Candidatus Omnitrophota bacterium. RNAcentral describes it as "Omnitrophica WOR c-di-GMP sequence". It matches the Rfam family "c-di-GMP-I riboswitch aptamer". From Rfam's summary of the family: GEMM was predicted in a large-scale screen for bacterial structured RNA regulatory elements. Genes associated with GEMM are involved in a diverse array of functions, including chemotaxis regulation, signal transduction, secretion and chitin. Lineage: Bacteria; Pseudomonadati; Candidatus Omnitrophota. The record is from RNAcentral.
GCCGAUAAAGGUAAACCCGGGGAAACCCGGGGACACAAAGCCAACAGGCCUACGUUGUCGCAAAACCGGGAAGGCCCUCAACCCCCCGUGGGGUGGGCAUAAAAUGACUAACUGGUGGGAAUAGAGACAAUAGGGCGGCUGGGUUGCCGAAG